Molecule: long non-coding RNA, 1185 nt
Organism: Balaenoptera ricei (Rice's whale)
Lineage: Eukaryota; Metazoa; Chordata; Mammalia; Artiodactyla; Balaenopteridae
Exons: 6
Source: RefSeq, a predicted model, not a curated record
GCCGCGGUGCCGCCUGGGAGUUGUAGUCUCCGGCAGCGCGACUUCCUGGUCGGUCCCCAGUCCCCCAGCCUCCAGAGCCCGGCUGCGGGCCUCGGGCCGAAGUGAGGACUGCGCGUGGGCGAAGGAAUUCUCCCGGGAAGAUGAGCCUGGCCUCAGACCCUCCCUGGGACGCCGUGGGCCGGACGCCUGGAGGAGGAGAGGAGGAGAGGGCCGAGCACUCCUCACAGACCCUGCGGGGGCCGCGGCCCAAGGGUCCUGCUGCUCAGGAAUGAAUCUGAGGACAGGCAACAUCUUGGUGGCGCUCCAGACUUUCCAGCUGACUUGGUGUAGAGGACCUGUGGGAGGUGCUGAGGAGGACUGAGGGAGAGGAGGGUGGCAGUGUUUCAGAGGCUGCCCCAUCAGCCCAGGUUAACGAAGGAAGAAGUGGAGCAGAGCCCAGCCCACCCAUGUUGGACGUGGCACAAGAAGCAGAACAGAGAAAAGCGGUAUGUGUUUCGCUUGGCAGGAAAACACUUGCUUUCAAGACUCCACUUCCAAAAUGCACGAGUGUCUGGGCUGUUCAGCAAGCCGGCCUUAGUUUUUCCCUCUUAACGCAGUAGCACGUAAUUGAGAACAAAAAAAAAGCAGCCCCUGACAUCCAGGAACUGGCCUGACACUUACAGCCACACUGGGAGACUCUCCAAUGCAGGGGACAGGUCUGACUCAUCCCUAUAUCCCAGCACCUGGGAGGGAGAAGUUCAAUGAAUGAUGAUGACAAUGGCUAACAUUUACUGUCCACUUACUACGUGCCAGGGAAAGAAACCAGAGCGCGGGGCCCCAGAGCUCUCUGUCCUCAAAGCCUGUUCUUCUGGCCGCUGUUCAUCACACCAGCUACAGUUUUGUCAAGUAAACUUUUUAUUCAAGUACAGAGAAGUAUACAUAUCAUUAGUGUACAGUUCAACGAAUUUACACAAAGUGAACACACCCAUAUAACCAAUACUCAGAUCAAGAAACCAAACAGAGAAGCCCCCAGAAGCUCCGCACAUGCUCUUUCUGCCACCCUCAUCCCCUCUGAAAGUUAUCAUUUACCUGAUUUCUAACAGCAUGGAUUACUGUGUCUGUUUCAAACUCUCUAGGGACCCAUACAGUGUGUACUGUGUUUUUACCUUCUUUUACUUAACAUUAUGUUUGUGAGAUUCAUAUUGU